UACGUAGGGGGCGAGCGUUGUCCGGAUUUAUUGGGCGUAAAGAGCUCGUAGGCGGUUCGAUAAGUCGGACGUGAAAUCUCCACGCUCAACGUGGAGGGGGCGUUCGAUACUGUCGUGACUCGAGUCCGGUAGGGGAGUGUGGAAUUCCCGGUGUAGCGGUGAAAUGCGCAGAGAUCGGGAGGAACACCCGUAGCGAAGGCGGCACUCUGGGCCGGUACUGACGCUGAGGCACGAAGGUCAGGGGAGCAAACGGG
RNAcentral lists this ribosomal RNA (254 nucleotides) under uncultured bacterium. RNAcentral describes it as "partial 16S ribosomal RNA". It matches the Rfam family "Bacterial small subunit ribosomal RNA", at positions 524 to 776 of the family's 1533-position model. The record is from RNAcentral.